CCACCCCCCUCCCCCCCCAACCGCGCAACAAUUACCCCUUUUAGGAUCGGCUAAUCCUGAAAUAUGGGCCUGUGACUAAUGGCGGAAUUUAGCAAGAAAUCAGCUCCAGUUUCACCGGCUUUAUUGACUCUAAUGCAGGAUGCAGAUACCUUCAGCUAUGAUGGAUGAGCGUGGGGAUACUGUCAGCCCCCCCCCUCCUCCUCCUCCUGCUCCUCCUCCUCCUCUUUCACUGUUGCCUUUGUGCAGGUGAUAAUGAAAAGUGUCAGAGAAGCAUGUAGCGGGCCCUUUUCACUGGCUCUCGCCAAAAGAAUGAGCCGCCAUGACAACAUUGACGUUGGAGUUUGUUGUUUCACAGGGCGAGGCGCUUCGCAGACGUCCCUCCUCCCUUAUUGUAUCGCGGCCGUCAAUAAACUGCAAUAUUGUGUCUCACUCUUGAGCGUGUGCCAGCCUGCUCCCACAUUCUGCUACAGGGGGGGGGGGGGCGGCGAUUGAGCAUAAAGCCACAAAAGCGGGGUCUUAGUGUACUUUGCUGCACAAACGAGUUAUCAAUCACGCUCUGCAUGCGAGGUGAUGGAUACGCGAGGCGCUUUUAUUUGACAGUGACAGAUAUGGUGCCGAUGAAUGAGUGCAGAUUGCCCGAUAAAUCAACCCCUCAAAUGUUUCAGACUCUGCUAAUCAUGGGCUUUUACUUUGAAGGGAACAAAGUCAAUAUUUGCGUUGUUGCACCUGCAGGGUUAAGAAAAUAAAGAGGGUUCGGGUGAAUACAAAGUUAUCCGACUAAAUCCUCGGGGAGUUUAGUUUGUGAGUGUCAUCAAAUUCCUGGAGACUGAGAUCAGAUCAGAAUGUCGUCGACUUCACUCGACCACUGAAGCGGAAUAAUCUCAAGUGGCAACAAAUGUGGAAUGAAAAUGAAAUUUGCGGCUCAAUCAUCCAUCAAAGUGAUGAUGCACUAGUAUCAGUUUGUGUGAAAAUAUGUGUGGAAACUAGAACUGGAGAAUAAUAUGAAUUUCAUUGUACAGAGUAACCUGUUAAACUGCACAUGCCCAUAAGUCAGGAAUCAUCAGGGACCAGGAAACAUUUAUUGCCAUAAUAUGUGAGACAUACAAGGGAUUUGACGUGGCGGUUGGUGCGUGACAGCAGACAGAACAACAACGGACGACAAGACAACAGUGCACGAGGAAUAAAAUAAAAUAUAAUGCUAUGGGUUAGUUUAAAAAUUAAAGUUUAAAAUGUUUAAAAAUAAAGUGCAAACAGCGGAGCAGAGGGAAGGGGCACAAACAGGUUUUGUCCGGGGUGAGAGGGGUCUACUGUAUAUAGGGGUCUGUGUAGAAGUCUAUGUAGGAGAAAUAUCUUCAAUCUUGAAUUUAAUACGUAAUAAGUACAUUUUUGUUCUCAUUCCGAGGUGAUGAGAUCAACUUCACAGCAGCUGCUGUGAUAAUAUAAUUAUUAUGUACAUUACAGGUCAUUUAGCAGACGCUUUUUAUCCAAAGCAACUUACAUUACACUUUAAACUCAUGGCUUUUUCACAUUUUUGCCCGGGGAGCAAUUAGGGGGUUAGGUGUCUUGCUCAGGGACACUUGGACAUGGAACAUGGGGCAGCCUGGAAUCGAACCACCAACCUUGUGCUUCCCAGCACACCUUCUCUAACCCCUGCGCCACGACGACGGGAGAUGUUAUUUAGCAAUUUAUUCUUAAAUAUAGUUUGCUUAAUUGUUUGGGUAAUUGGAUCACUAAUGCUGUGGGCACCUGGAGGUUACGUAGCCAGGUGGGACCAGCAUGCACCUGGGUGACAAAUAGUUUUCACCAGUGAGUCAGAGCGACAGAGCGACAUGCACUGCAUGGGAAAGCAGACAAGUUGCGUAUGUGUUGUGGAUUCUGUGGAAUAAAGGCGAAACAAAGGAAAAGAUCGCCCGGACAAUCCGCUUUCUUACUGCGUGAAAGAAAACAAAAACUAGGUGCAGCAGUGGCUCUUUGAGAUGUAAAGAUUAGUUGGUAACAAGGACAAAUGGCCACUACAAGUACGCUAGUAUCAUAAUGUGUGACCCUGUAACUGAUCUAGAAGCAUGAAGAUAUGAAAAUAAUAAAAUGUAGGGUCUGGAAAACAGCUGUUGUUUUGUCCACUAAUAUUUUUGCAUGUCUAAUAUUUUGAGGAUAAACACAUUUUGCUUGUGUGAAAAACACUGUUGGUUAUUUAUAAGUAAGGUUGAUUUACUGGAGGUGUGUCGGAGAAGUUUUAUUCUUUGUCCUGUCAUUGUUCAAACAGCUUCAUCAAAUGUUCUUAUUUCACUGUAAGAAAACACAGUGGAAACAAAGAGGAACACAAAACAAACAACAAAAACAAAAAAGAAGAAUUGUAUAUUUUUUGAUCCUACGAAUCAACACUUAAGGUAAGGUAAAAAUAAUAGAUAAAAAGGUAAUAUAUGAAAUAUAAAAUACCCAAACCUGUUGGAAAACAUAUUUUUUAAUUAAGUAAAAAAUAUAAAACGACAUAUCAAAUAUUACAUAUGAAUGAGCUCAUAACCGGAUCUUGUUUUAUAAAGAUAUUUCCCUUUCGACCGAGUUACAUGCAACUGUAUUACGUAAGUAAGCCGACUUCUGCCAUGAAAGAUGAAAUAAAACUUUUGUCCUGCAGUAAACACCUGCAGGGAACAUGAGCAGAGAGCCGACACGCAUAUUCCUGAAAAGAUGGAAUACAUAUUUACAUCACACACAAGCGGCGUUUGACCGCCUCUGCCACCUGUUUGAUGUCAAACAGGAGAUUCUGAUAAAAAGCCCGGUACCCGUUAUGAAAACGCUGUUGCAUAAAUACAAGUGAAACCCGGCUCUCAGGAGUUUAUCUUAUGAGUAAACAGGUGUAUAUAUUACUCAAACAACAACAGGAGAAUAAUGUUGAGGCAAUAAAUAGUUGACUGCGGAGAGGAUUUACGCCACGAUGAAAUAAAGUUUAUGUGGAGGUUUGAUGCAGGAGUCACGACACCAGAGUUCCUGUGAAAUAAUGCUGAAUUCAAGCAGCACAAUGAGUCUUCUUCUCCACGGAGGGACGGGAGGGAGAGGGUGAGGGAGAGGGGGAGGUGGAGGGGAGAUUGUAUCUUGGCAGUUGCAAAAGCAAACUGUCUGAUGUGACACAUAACAACAUCCAAAGACAACAGCAAUAAGUCACGCUCAUGAGCCCAAAAGGCAAAUAUGAUCAGGUGUUGUUUUAACAGCGAUGCAAAUCAGCCCAAAGUGAUACUUCUGGAACACGUCUCCUGCGUGUCUUCACACGUCCAUUUAAUCCAAACUGCAGAAUAAACUGAAGUUUUAAAUUUGGAUUUAAAACCCCCCUUCCCUCCCCCACGUCCACCCCGUCACCUCAUCCGUCCGUCAGCAGCCUCUUCUGCUCGGUAACAGUUAGGAAUGGUCAUUGGUGUUUAAUGACACUGAAUCCCUCUUUAUUGCUGAUGUUAAGCACUAAUAUGAAGUCAGGCGCUUAGUAAUGACCCCCCAGGGGGGGGUGCGUGGGGGGGGGGGCACUUUGGUGAAGGGGAAUAGUAUUAAAGUGCUGCAGCAGCUGCAGCGCUCUCCGUCCCAGCGGGUUUUAGAAUCACAAUCAGUGCAGAAAAUGAAACAUUACAGUCGAUCGGAGCG
Molecule: long non-coding RNA, 3627 nt
Organism: Gasterosteus aculeatus aculeatus (three-spined stickleback)
Lineage: Eukaryota; Metazoa; Chordata; Actinopteri; Perciformes; Gasterosteidae
Source: Ensembl